This 380-nucleotide ribosomal RNA is filed under the name uncultured eukaryote. Its description in RNAcentral is "partial 18S ribosomal RNA". It matches the Rfam family "Eukaryotic small subunit ribosomal RNA", at positions 592 to 976 of the family's 1831-position model. The record is from RNAcentral.
CAAUAGCGUAUAUUAAAGUUGUUGCAGUUAGAACGCUCGUAGUCGGAUUUCGGGGCGUUCCGACCGGUCUGCCGAUGGGUAUGCACUGGCCGGAGUGUCCUUUUUGCCGGAGACCGUGCCUACUCUUAACUGAGCGGGGGCGGGAGACGGCACUUUUACUUUGAAAAAAUCAGAGUGUUUCAAGCAGGCAGCUCGCUCUUGCAUGGAUUAGCAUGGGAUAAUGAAAUAGGACUUUGGUGCUAUUUUGUUGGUUUCGAACACCGAAGUAAUGAUGAGAAGGGACAGUCAGGGGCACUCGUAUUCCGCAGAGAGAGGUGAAAUUCUCAGACCCGCGGAAGACGAACCACUGCGAAANCANNNGCCAGGGAUGUUUACACNGA